GUAGGGAAUCUUCCACAAUGGACGCAAGUCUGAUGGAGCAACGCCGCGUGAGUGAAGAAGGUCUUCGGAUCGUAAAGCUCUGUUGUUGGUGAAGAAGGAUAGAGGCAGUAACUGGUCUUUAUUUGACGGUAAUCAACCAGAAAGUCACGGCUAACUACGUGCCAGCAGCCGCGGUAAUACGUAGGUGGCAAGCGUUGUCCGGAUUUAUUGGGCGUAAAGCGAGCGCGGCGGAAUGAUAAGUCNGAUGUGAAAGCCCACGGCUCACCGUGGAACUGCAUCGGAAACUGUCAUUCUUGAGUGCAGAAGAGGAGAGUGGAACUCCAUGUGUAGCGGUGGAAUGCGUAGAUAUAUGGAAGAACACCAGUGGCGAAGGCGGCUCUCUGGUCUGCAACUGACGCUGAGGCUCGAAAGCAUGGGUAGCGAACAGGAUUAGAUACCCUGGUAGUCC
RNAcentral lists this ribosomal RNA (448 nucleotides) under uncultured bacterium. RNAcentral's name for it is "partial 16S ribosomal RNA". It matches the Rfam family "Bacterial small subunit ribosomal RNA", at positions 354 to 796 of the family's 1533-position model. The record is from RNAcentral.